Molecule: non-coding RNA, 8619 nt
Organism: Podarcis lilfordi (Lilford's wall lizard)
Lineage: Eukaryota; Metazoa; Chordata; Lepidosauria; Squamata; Lacertidae
Source: the annotation of a GenBank genome assembly
CAAGCUCAGCAGGCAGGAGAAAAAGAAGAAGAAAACCUGGGGCUGCUUUUUUUCCCCCUUGGCAGAAGUGUCCGGCCCCUUUCAAUGAUGCAAAACUAUUCAUUCUGGAGGAAACCCAGUUCUUCAGUAAACUAUUUCACUCUGCUAAAACAACCCAGCUCCUGUAAGUUCCAAGGCGUCCAUCGUAAUUAUGAUUCAGUUGUUUGGCUUUCACCUUAUUGCUUAUGUAUGAGCGACGCUUUGGUCUUAUUCUGUUUCUGUUAGAAGGAUGCACCUUACUGCGCGCCCCCCCCAAUAAAACAACGGCUCAUAAUAGCCAGGGCUGUACAGUGGUACCUCGGAUUAUGAAUAGGAUCCGUUCCAGAGGUCUGGCUGGAUUCCAAGGUUUUCGCAACCUGGGGAUCAUUGUUAUACGCAUGUGCACGGCGGUAGGCCGCUUCUGCGCAUGCGCACACCACAAAACCCGGUCAAACCUGAGGGUUGCGUAACCUGAGGUGCUACUGUAUUGAUGAGCUGUUUUUUACAUUGAGAUGUAAGUAUAAUGGGGGUGGUUCAUUUUUCCUUUGGCUGCUUUGUCCUUUGUGUCUGAUACAACGAUUGCCUUUUUUUCCAAAAAAAGACAAACAUUCAUCACUAAUAAUAAUAGAACUCUGGAAGAGGCUGAUAAGGCAACAAGACUUUAGCGGUUGCGUGCGUAUCAAUUACAAAUGGCUGACUUUGCAGGCUCAAAAGCAUUCCCAUCUCCCAAAGGCAUUUUCUGCUUUAAAAAGAAAAUGGCAGUAGUCAGGUUAAGCAAGCAAGACAUUAAUAAUCAUAGUGUUAUAAGAAUUUAAGGUCUCAAAUAUAUAAAUUAAAUGUUCAUAAAUGUACAAGGCAAACACAUACAUAAGUAUAUAAACCAUGUGUCUGAAAUAGUACAGGAGAACAAUCCUGAAACCAUUUUGACUCUCCCAGUGACCUCAAAUAUUCCUCUGCAGUGAGGAAAGAAAUGAGAAAAGCCUCCCCAUUGUCUCUUUGCUCACAAAUCCUGUCUUAAGGACAUAUUUGUGUAGGAAUAGGGUGAGCCUGUGACCUGGAUUCAGGAACUAAGUAUUUAGCAUCUCAAAAGGAAUGGUCAGGCUGCCCAAGUAAAGCAAUCAGUGACCAUUAUCAGGUAUCAUGACAAACAGGAUUUGGGUUGGAGACCGCCUCCUUCAGUGAUGUAUGUAUGGUGUUUUGGGGGGUUGUCUUGAGCUAGAGGGUGGGCAAUUUCAGAAGUCUGUAUAAGGGCUUGCGCACCAUUCUUCAGGGUCCCUCCUGCCUCCUGCGUGUGGUGAGUGAGGACCCUGUUGCAACAGUUAAUGAAGAUCAGACUUGCUAGCUGCCUUACUUCUCAAUAUUCUUUGGUUGGCCUCUGUUAUCUUCUCCUACCGAUAGAGAACCUACAUAAGGACUCUAUACGGGCUCUUGAAUACCCCAUAAGGGAAAGGGAGCAGUUUUGUCUUAAAACCAUAGCCGACAUAAGCGUAACUGAAAGAUGGGAUGACCAUGAUGGGGAGCAGGAAGAGUCCACUGUCAAUCACACUGGGCAAAAGGAGUUCUGGCUGCAGAAGGUGUUGUUGAGAUUGAACAAGAGAGGAAAAGAGGCUUCCAUGACGAUGGAAAAGGUGCGUAAAGGAAAAUCCACUAGCUCUCAUCAAUAGGGAAGCAACCAGUUUGACAGCCACCUCAAGCAUAAUGUAAAAAUACAGAGAAAGAGAGAGAUUUCAGUAUCCAAGAAUACACCAAAGGAAGUGAAUUUGUUAUGGGUACAUAUAUGAUUCUGUUUAGCAGUGUCUAGGGAUGUGGGUGUCACUGUGGUCUAAAUCACUGAGCCUCUUGGGCUUGCUGAUCAGAAGGUCGGUGGUUCAAAUCCCCGCGAUGGAGUGAGCUCCCAUUGCUUGGUCCAGCUCCUGCCAACCUAGCAGUUCAAAAGCACCAGUGCAAGUAGAUAAAUAGGUACCGCUCCAGCGGGAAGGUAAACAGUGUUUCUGUGUGCUCUGGAUUCUAUCACUGUGUUCCGUGGCACCAGAAGCAGUUUAGUCAUGUUGGCCACAUGACCCGGAAAGCUGUCUGUGGACAAACGCUGGCUCCCUUGGACUGGAAGCAAGAUGAGCCCCACAACCCCAUAGUCACCUUUGACUGGACUUAACUUUCCAGGGGUCCUUUAUCUUUACCUAUGUUAGACUUUUACCUCUACCUAUUUUAGACUCGGGUGGCACUGUGGGUUAAACCACAGAGCCUAGGACUUGCUGAUCAGAAGGUCGGCGGUUCGAAUCCCUGCGACGGGGUGAGCUCCCGUUGCUUGGUCCCUGCUCCUGCCAACCCAGCAGUUCAAAAGCACAUAAAGUGCAAGUAGAUAAAUAGGUACCGCUCCAGCGGGAAGGUAAACGGUGUUUCUGUGUGCUGCUCUGGUUCACCAGAAGCGGCUUAGUCAUGCUGGCCACAUGACCCAGAAGCUGUACGCCGGCUCCCUCGGCCAAUAAAGCGAGAUGAGCGCUGCAACCCCAGAGUCGGUCACGACUGGACCUAACGGUCAGGGGUCCCUUUACCUCUUAUGUUAGACUGUAAGCCAGUUUACUAAUGUGUCCAGCACAGCACCAUUUUUAAGAUUAUUAUUUAGGCAAUAACCCCAAGUUUCUGAGUUGGCAAAGUGCCCUGGGUGAUGCGUGACAUAGGUUCAAGGCCGCGCUGGGUCACUGAUCUGGAUCAUCAGCUGUCGUGCCUAAAAAUCCACUUCUUUUUCUUCUACAACAGCUCAUCAGAUCAGACCAUCGACUGAGCAAGGGAUGGUCGUGUUUUUUACCCGGAGGUUUCCUGUGGUGAGCAAUGUUGAGAGUGAUGUUUGAGCCUCAAAUCCAGCCUUGCAGUUCUCCUUGAAGGCAGACCCCCUUGCCUUAUUUGAAUGCUUAAUCUGCAUACCGAGGCAGCCGCUCCAGGGUUAUGCAAAUUCCUGAAGCAGAUGGUUGCGGCUGAGCUGCAAAUAACAAAGCAAAGGAUGAAGUGGAACAUUCUGAAACUGGCGCUGUCAGGGGAAUGCCUUUGUUUGAAUUUCAUAUUUUGAAACGUGACAGGCAAGAGUGCCUUGCACAUUCGACAGGUAGGUUUAGGCAGCAGGUGGAGUGAUGGUGGAAAGAGAAUUGAGGUUGGGGUGGAGCUAUUUUCCUAUCUGAGAUUAUUAUUAUUAUUUUUAAAAAGAUGUUUUUAUUUGUUUUUUCAAAUAUAAAUGUAUAACACAAGCAAACACAUUUCCCACAUCCCCCUCAUUUAUAACACAUAUACCUCAGGUUACAUACGCUUCAGGUUACAUACGCUUCAGGUUACAGACUCCGCUAACCCAGAAAUAGUACCUCGGGUUAAGAACUUUGCUUCAGGAUGAGAACAGACAUUGUGCUCUGGCAGCUUCAGGUUAAGAACGGACAGUUUCAGGUUAAGAACGGACCUCCGAAACCAAUUAAGUACUUAACCCGAGGUACCACUGUACAGAGAUUUCUCUGAAUCUCAAGACCUCCCCCUCCCCUCCGUGGGUCCUAAUGUAAACGUUUUCAGCUGCAUAUUCUAUCACAGUCUAUAUUUUGUAUCUCUCCAUAUUGUCCACAGUAUUUGUUACAUUACAAGUGUUGUUAAAACCCUGCUAAUGUUUUCAUCUGCUUACAGUGGCCUCCUAAAUAAAUUAUAUUUUUCCCCCAUUCUUUCUUGAAGUUUUUGUCAUCUUGGUUCCUGAGCUUUCUGGUCAGUUUUGCCAUUUCAGCGUAAUCCAUCAGCUUAGUUUGCCAUUCCUCUCUGGUAGGGACUUUGUCUUCUUUCCAUCUCUGGGCUAGUAACAUCCACGCAGCUGUUGUCGCAUACAUAAAAAGUCUUUUCUGCUCCUUUGGGAUGUCGGUACCUACUAUUCCCAAUAAAAAAAGCUUCUAGGUUUUUUUAAUAAUAAUAAUAAUUUAUUAUUUGUACCCCGCCCAUCUGGCUGGGUUUCCCCAGCCACUCUGGGCGGCUUUCACAAAAACUAAAAAUACACUAAGAUGUCACACAUUAAGAACUUCCCUGAACAGGGCUGCCUUAAGAUGUCUUCUGAAUGUCAGGUAGUUGUUUUUCUCUUUGACAUCUGGUGGGAGGGCGUUCCACAGGGCGGGUGCCACUACCGAGAAGGCCCUCUGCCUGGUUCCCUGUAGCUUUGCUUCUCGCAAUGAGGGAACCGCCAGAAGGCCCUCAGCACGAUCUCAGCAUCCGGGCAGAACAAUGUGGGUGGAGACGCUCCUUCAAGUAUACUGGGCCAAGGCCAUUUAGGGCUUUAAAGGUCAACACCAACACUUUGAAUUGUGCUCGGAAACAUACUGGGAGCCAAUGUAGGUCUUUCAAGACCGGAGUUAUGUGGUCUUGGUGGCUACUGCCAGUCAGCAGUCUAGCUGCCGCAUUCUGGAUUAGUUGUAGUUUCCGGGUCACCUUCAAAGGUAGCCCCACGUAGAGCGCAUUGCAGUAGUCCAAGCAGGAGAUAACUAGAGCAUGCACCACUCUGGCGAGACAAAGUUAUUUUAAACAUUUUUUUUUCAGUUCAUUAUAUAUCAUUUCCCAGAAAGCUUUGAUUAUCGUGUAGGGGUUAGAGUGUCGGAUUAUGACCUGGGAGUUAAAAUGAGGGGCGGGGGGAAGAGAACUCUAUAUGCCACUUUGAGCUUACUGGAAGAAAGGUGGGAUAUAACCAUAUGAUCCUGCUUGGACCCUGAGAUCAUCUUCUGAGGCCCUCCUUCGUGUGCCUCCUUCUCGAGAGGUGCGGAAGGUGGCAGUACAAGAACGAAUGGGCCUUUUUUUGCAGUGGCUCCCUGACUGUGGAAUGCUAUCCCCAGGGAAGUUCGCCAGGCAAAAACAUUCUCUCUCUUUCUCACACAGACACACACACACACACACACACACACACACACACAAAACACAUAAUCAUUAUCCACUAUACCACUCUGACUCUUAGAACCUGUUGAAUUCCUUCCCUCCCACCUCAUGGCUUUCAAAAUUAACCUUCAUAUGAUUGCAAUUUAUACGUUUUCCAAUUCUAAUUACACUCAUUACAGAAUGACUCAAAAUUUAUAGAACUAUAGAAAGGUAGAAAAUUUCCCGUUGCCAGUCUUCAGACAACCCUACGAAUGAUGUUAAUUGCUCACACAAUAAUCUUUCAAAUAUUGUAUGAAUUUACUCCAGUCCUUUUGGAAUACUUGAUCAUGCUGGUUUCGGAUUUUUCCUGUCAGCUUCGCCAGUUCUGCAAAGUCCAUCAUCUUCAUUUGCCACUCUUCUUUCAUUGGUACUUCUUGUUGUUUUCAUUUCUGGGCUAAAAGGAUUCUUGUCACAGUUGUUGCAAACAUAAACAGUCUUUUACCUUCAAAAGAAGAUAAAAUGUUCCUUUUUAACCAGGCCUUUGGUUGACCUGAUUGACAUCCUGUUGUUGUUGUUGUUGUUGUUUAGUCAUUUAGUCGUGUCCAACUCUUCGUGACCCCCUGGACCAGAGCACGCCAGGCACUCCUGUCGUCCACUGCCUCCCGCAGUUUGGUCAAACUCAUGCUGGUAGCUUCAAGAACACUGUCCCACCAUCUCGUCCUCUGUCGUCCCCUUCUCCUUGUGCCCUCCAUCUUUCCCAACAUCAGGGUCUUUUCCAGGGAGUCUUCUCUUCUCAUGAGGUAGCCAAAGUAUUGGAGCCUCAGCUUCAGGAUCUGUCCUUCCAGUGAGCACUCAGGGCUGAUUUCCUUAAAAAUGGACAUGUUUGAUCUUCUUGCAAUCCAUGGGACUCUCAAGAGUCUCCUCCAGCACCAUAAUUCAAAAGCAUCAAUUCUUCGGUGGUCCAGCUCUCACUUCCUAUACCCUUUUAAAAUGUGGCUCUUGGGAGGUGUUAUUGGAUUAUUGUUCUUAUUUUGAUUUUAUAUAUUGCGAUCUUUUCUGUGAACUGCCCUGAGACCUUCGGGUAUAGGCCGGUAUAAUAAUAAUAAUAAUAAUAAUAAUAAUAAUAAUAAUAAUUUAUUUAUAUCCCGCCCUCCCCAGCCGAAGCCGGGCUCAGGGCGGCUAACAACAAUCAAAUAAUCAAACAAUCAAAUAAUCAAACAUUCUAAAAACAUUUCAUUAUAAAAAUUAAUUAAAAUCAAAUUAAUGGCAACCGUUGAGCAAAAUUCUGUGCAGGUUGCCAGAGGAGGGAGUCAGGCUGGGCCCUGACCAAAGGCCUGGUGGAACAACUCUGUCUUGCAGGCCUUGUGGAAAGAUGUCAGGUCCCGCAGGGCCCUGGUCUCUUGUGACAGAGCGUUCCACCAGAUUGGAGCCGCAGCCGAGAAAGCCCUGGCUCUAGUUGAGGCCAGCCUAACCUCUCUGUGGCCUGGGAUCUUCAGGAUGUUUUUAUUUGCAGACCGUAAAUUUCUCUGUGGGACAUACCAGGAGAGGCGGUCCCCUAGGUACGAGGGUCCUAGGCCGUAUAGGGCUUUAAAGGUUAAAACCAGCACCUUAAACCUGAUCCUGUACUCCACCGGGAGCCAGUGCAGCUGGUAUAGCACCGGGUGAAUGUGAUCUCGCAGCGAAGACCCCGUAAGGAGUCUCGCUGCAGCAUUCUGCACCCGCUGGAGUUUCUGGGUCAGUCUCAAGGGCAGCCCCACGUAGAGCGAGUUACAAUAAUCCAGUCUGGAGGUGACCGUCGCGUGGAUCACAGUGGCUAGGUCAGGGCGAGAGAGAUAAGGGGCAACUGCUUAGCUUGGCGGAGAUGAAAAAAUGCCGCCUUUGUUAUAGCUGUAAUCUGCGCCUCCAUAGAGAGGGAGGUAUCGAAGAUUACACCCAGACUCUUAACGGACGGUGCUGGCACUAAUUGCACCCCCGCCAGAGAUGGGAGUUGCCCCCCCAAUCCCAUAUCGUCCCGUCCCAGCCAGAGGACCUCUGUCUUCGAAGGAUUUAACUUCAACCGGCUUCCACGUAACCAUCCAGCCACAGCUUCCAAACAUCUGGUCAGUGUGUCUGGGGCCGAGUCAGGAUGGCCAUCCAUCAACAGAUAGAGUUGGGUGUCAUCGGCAUACUGAUGGCAACCCAGCCCAAAACUCCGGACAAGCUGGGCGCAUAAAGAUGUUAAAAAGCAUCGGGGAGAGUAUCGCACCCUGAGGCACUCCACACACCAAGGAGUGGCGCGAUGACAAUUCCCCCCCAAGCGCCACCCUCUGUCCCCGACCAGAGAGAAAUGAGCGCAGCCAUUGGAGGACCGUGCCCUGGAUCCCCACGUCGGAAUAAAUAUAAAUCAAUAAAUAUAAUCAAUAAAUAUAUUGAUUAUAAAUAUAAAUAUAAUCAAUAAAUAUAAAUAUAUAUAAAUGUAAACAAUAAAUGCAGCUAAGUCCCCUUUGCGCUGUGUUGAAUACACAUUGUUUUUAAAAUGCAAUAAAAACAGUUUACGAUAACAUAAACAUACUUCUAUAAUGCCCAGCAAAACUAAGGGGCGUCUGUAAAUAAUAUCUCCAAGCAUCUUGAGCCAUCAUGACAUAUUAUCUUUUGCAGGGAAAAGCCAAACGAAAAGUAUGAUUGACAGCCAACCGGACCUGCUGAAAAAUUAGCUCCUGGUCCCAUACUGGUAACAGAUAGUGAAUUACACUGCCUCAGACAUUGGGAUGCAAAUUCAACCUUCUCAGCUGUGGCCGGACACAUUCUAUCACAUAGAAACGAGCAUUAAUUAAAGGAGAGGACCAGAUGCCGGAAUGAAGCAUAUGUGAGCACAAGAUGGGAUACAACGUUGGCUGGCUGCUGGCAUCCUCUGCCCCCUGGGCAUGGCAGUGACACUCGCCCCGGGCACAGGGAAACAUACAAGCGCUCAUUAGCUCUUUCGGGCUGAUCUGAUACGGCUGUCCAAUUCCUCCCUAGCUGUCUGCGUAAAUGACGGAGUUGUGAACAUAGCCGGCAGAGCUGGCAAUCUAGUUAUUAGACACGGUGUUUAACUCGAGUCUUAAGUUUUCCUCAAGUUUCACCCCAUAAUUAUUAGGCCUGGGACUUCCACUGUGUUUGUGCAGGUGGAUAUUAGAUUUUCUAUCAGACCGUUCCCAAAGGGUCAGGAUGGUUUCCCACAUCUCUGCAGAUCUCAUCAUGAAUGGGGACGCCACAGGGGUGCGUGUUGAGCCUGCUUUUAUAUAAGCUCUAUACAGCUGACUGUGCCCCCAAAUACCCCAGUAAUAAGAUCAUUAAGUUUGCAGAUGAUAAAACGGUGGUUGGUUUAAUCACGGCUGGAGAGGGGGAGGCAGCCUAUAGGAAGGAAGUUGAGCAGUUGGGGGAGUGGUGCAGGAAAAACAACUUACUCCUUAACUUAAAGAAAACAAAAGAGAUUAUUAUGGACUUUAGGAAAUGUAAAUUGAAUAUUCAGCCACUUAUUAUUGAGGGGAAGUGCGUGGAACAGGUCUCGGUGUUUCGAUUUCUGGGAAUGGAGUUGAGAGAUGACCUAACCUGGGGAGAAACAGCAAAGACCUGAUGAAGAGAGCACAGCAGAAGUUAUAUUUUCUGAGAAUCGUCCGUAAAAACAACCUCUCAAAGGACCUGUUGAUGGCAUUUUACCAUUGUACUGUGGAGAGUGUAUUAACUUAUGGUCUCUGUGUGUGGUUUGGGAGCUGCACGGCCAGG